UACGUAGGGGGCAAGCGUUGUCCGGAUUUACUGGGUGUAAAGGGUGCUCAGGUGGCUUUGUAAGUCAGCGGUAAAAUCUUAGAGCUCAACUCUGAAACUGCCGUUGAUACUACUUGGCUUGAGUAUGGAAGAGGUUGAUGGAAUUUCAGGUGUAGCAGUGAAAUGCGUAGAUAUCUGAAAGAACACCAGUGGCGAAGGCGGUCAACUGGUCCAUUACUGACACUAAAGCACGAAAGCGUGGGUAGCGAGCAGG
Molecule: ribosomal RNA, 253 nt
Filed under: uncultured bacterium
Lineage: Bacteria
Description: partial 16S ribosomal RNA
Rfam family: Bacterial small subunit ribosomal RNA
Source: RNAcentral